Homo sapiens (human) is the source of this 5836-nucleotide long non-coding RNA. RefSeq lists it as uncharacterized. Lineage: Eukaryota; Metazoa; Chordata; Mammalia; Primates; Hominidae. The record is from RefSeq and is a predicted model, not a curated record. The transcript has 4 exons.
UGGACAUGUUGUAUUUUAAAAGUCAGUAAUCUUAUAUUAAUGUUAAAAUGUGGUGUUCCAAAUUUCAGUGUUAUGAGCACUGAUUAGGUUCCCAGGCUAUCAUUAAUUUAAUACACAUUGUAGCUAAGAUAGGAUUUUGAUACUAUUAUAUUAUAGUGGAUUCAUCUGUGUCCUCCCCAUCCCCCAAAUAUGUUCAAGUCCUAAACUCCUGUACUUGUGAAUGUGACUCUAUUUGGAAAAGGGUUUUUGCAGGCAUAAUCAAAUCAAGAUGAGGUCAUACUGGAUGAGGACAGGCUCUAGAUUCAGUGACUCUUAUCUUCAUAAGAGACUUGGACACAGAGGGAAGAAGAUCAUGUGAGGACGGAGGCAGAGGUUGGCAUUAAGCUUCCACAAGCCAAGGAAUGCCUGGACCCAUCAAAAGUUGGAAAAGGCAAGAAAAGAUUCUCUUCUAGCACCUUCGAUGGAGUGUGGCCAUGCUGACACCUCAGUUUCAGAAUUUUGGCCUCCAGAAUGGAGAAGAGUCUUGACAACAUUCAACAAAUACUCAGCGUGAUGACAAGUCUGCUGUUCCCUGUUAUAGAUGAUGUCUCAUGGGACUGAGUAACGGGCUAAGAUUGCCCAAUCGGAGGCUGUUCCAUGUCAUCCUCCCUCAAAAACGUUAGAUAAUGGUGCCUCCACCAUGUGGAACAUCAAGGUUGGUUGUGUUGGGGCAAAGGGAGCAGUGGAUAAUUUCACACUGGGGAUUAAAACUUCCACCCAGAAAUGACACAUUACUCCUUGAUAUGAUUUGGUUGUGUCCCCACCCAAAUCUCAUGUUGGAUUGUAGCUCCCAUAAUUCCCAUGUAUUGUGGGAGGCACCCAGUGGGAGGAAACUGAAUAAUGAGGGUGGGUCUUUCCCAUGCUGUUCUCGUGGUAGUGAAUAAGUCUCGUGAGAGCUAAUGGUUUCAUAAAAGGGAGUUCUCCUGCAUAAACUCUCUUGCCUGCCGCCGUGUAAGACAUGACUUUGCUCCUCAUUCACCUUCUGUCAUAAUUGUGAGGCCUCCCCAGCCAUGUGGAACUGUGAGUUAAUUAAACCUCUUUCCUUUAUAAAUUACCCAGUCUUGGGUAAAUUUAUUCUUUAUUAGUGGCAUGAGAACAGACUAAUACACUCCUCCUCUCAUUUCAUUGCACAAACUAACUGGCCUAGCUGCACCUGACCUCAAGUGGGCCAAAGAAGUACCAUCCCCCCAGUGCCAAGGAGGAAAGUCAGCAACACUGUCAACUACAGUCAGUGCCAGUGAGAAAGGUCAGGGCUAAGGAGGCCUGCAGUAAUGGUGAAGGAGAGUUUUGAGCUUUGGAAUAAUUUUCUUCACAGAUUUCAAAGCUCAGGUCCUAUUCUCAGGAUAACCUAGCAGGGAAGAAUUUCUAAAAAGUGAGAAAAUUAGCCUAUUUAGUUAGAUCACCAUUUUACAGACAACGUGGUGAUCUUGUUAUCAAAUAAUCACUAGCAAGUUUCAGGGAGUUACUUCAGUGCUAAGGAAAACAAGCUAAUGAUAAUAGUUGCUGGGAUAUUUUUGUGUCUAUAGUUUGGUAUUUUGCUCCAAAAGCAAACCAGGAAUACUCUCUGAUGAUAUGCAAAUAAAUUUUUAAAAUACAAAUAAAACAAACUGUCAACUUUAGAGAAGCCAAAUUACCAGUAGUAAGUAAAUAUCAGCAACAUGGACUGGGCAUCUUGAUACAAAUGUGGCCAGGAGGUAGGUUGUGGCUAUGUAGCUGUGAACGCUGUUGAGUGCAGUCAUGGCUGGAGCCAACCAGGAAUUCUCUGGUAUGGGAAGAUUUGGAGAGACAUUGUUCUCAUGAGUUUUUGUUGAGAUGGAAAAAUGGAGCCCUUCUUUAUCUCUCUCUACUCUCUUUGGGUGCUCAUUACUAUAAGCAGCAACCACAUUCCAAAUCCACUUGGCAAAGUUCUUUACCCAAAACCCCUUUGUAAAAAACAGUCAAAGCCUGUAUUUGAACAAGGCAAUCUGAUUGCAGAGCUGCAUAGUUUACUACUACAAUAUGGUGACGCUCAAAUGUGUUUGACUACAGUUUCUAAUGCAAAUUUUCUCAUAUAUACUGUUUUAGCCACAUGAUACCUAAAUGCUAUGUCAUUAAAGGUCACUGAAUAUACACUUCCCAUCUCAUUCCUAGUAAUUGAGGUAGAGAUGUACUAAUUUACUUCAUUUAUUAUGGAUUCUUUAUGCUUUUCUUCAUUUUGCACCACUGUAGGUUACGUUGUGAUGAGGACUUUAGUUUUGGCAAGUAUCCUUAAUCGUUUGCUUAGGAAAAAGCUCCUACAAGUGGAAUUUCUGGGUCAAAGGGUAUGCUUGUAGAGUCACUACUUUUGGCCAUGCCAACUUCACCUAGAUGUCAACUCCAAGUAAAUUAGAAUGGUGACCCCUGAAACUGUGCUAGUCUUACAGUGCUGUAACAUUAGGUAUGGAUUUUAACAUCCAUAACUGCCAGUCUUCCAGAAAGUUUGUGCUGAAUAAUGCUUCCAUGAGCAAUAUUCAAGAAAGCAUUUCUGUCCGGGUGGCAUAUACAGUAAUCCUAGUAAUAAUAAUAAUAAAAACAUCUGCCAUUUUUUAAAGUAAUAAAAUAUUUCAUUGUUUCAAUUUUGCAUUUCAACAAAGUAUUUUGAAAAUUGCAUCAGUGCAUUCUCAUGGUUUGUUUCCUCUGAUCCAAGUGGCUGCCCUCAGAAUGCUUCUUUUCCAGUGUUCAAUUAUGCUGAUAAAGUCUGAUCAAAGAGAGGACCUGUCAGGCCCAGGAAGCAUGACAUGGAGUAUAUGUGCCAAUGAAUGAUUAAAUUAGAUGAUGUCUGGCCUAAUAGAAUGCAGCUAUAUUCUUAUAUGUGCUUCUUCAUUCAAUGAGAUAUAAUGUGUUAUUUAGAUUGAAAUAUAUGAAGAAAAUCUGGUCUCACAUAGAUAUGUGGGUGGAAAAGGGAAGAGUAAUUUAAUAGCUUUUCAGAUAAUUGUGGCUAUUUUUUCAUACUACAUCAAAACUUGACAAGUGAUAUUUCUUAGAGGUUAGUAAUGAUGUAGAAUGUGAAACCAUAUCAAUGAAAAUUUUGUAUUCUGUUACAUUAAAACCUAUUGGUCUAUCUUGCACUUUGAAUGAAUUUUUUUUUAUAAUGCAUGAUUUUGUAACAACAUUGACCAUGUGGAAAAUAAUGAUCUUCUGAAAUACAUCUUCAUAAGGUGGAUUCAUUUCAUAUAAUAAAUUGUCAAGUCACAUUUAUUAAUAUCACUGCUGAGUUCAUAAAGUAUUUAAAUAUUGAGAACUGUCACACUCAUGACAGUAGAUGUGAGUUUUCCAAAAUUUCAAUUUCAACUACAAAGUUUCCAUUUUAAAAUUAGCAAAACAAAUGAUAUUAUUUAUUACCCUUGAAAUGACAAACUUUCUUCAUUUAUUUUUGAGAAAAUUUCUACUAAUUAUCUAAGUCUAAAUAGCUAUAGUUUGUCUGUCAUUUCUCCUUUCCAGUAAAAAUUAUGUUCCAUGAAAAAAGUGGCUAGUUUAGCUAGUAACUUAAGUCAUCACACAAACACUUUUCUACGAAACUGCUAUUAAACUUUGCUAGGUAGCAGAAUUUUUUAUGUAGCCUUCCCAUUUUGUCACACAAUAUUAGAAAGACGUGUACUCAAAGGUUGUGAUUUAAUAAAAUUAAUAUUGUUUUUACUACUUCAUAAAGGAAUUUCUUAGUUAAAACUGGCAUUUAAAAAAAUGGGGCAUAUAUGGCAGUGAAGAAUGCAAUGACUAGUAGUACAUUGUGGACCCACUGCUUUGAUUUGUGCUAGGGCACCAGCAAUUUUACCUGCCAUUGCUUUUAUGCUGUCACUGGAAAUGUCAACAUGGUAACAAAAAACAAAUAACAUUUAAUUUUAUUAUUAAAAAAUAUUUUGACAUUGAAGACUCCCUGAAAGAGUCCCGAGGGAGUUUUCAGGAGUCCACAAACCACAUUUUAAAAGCCUCUGCUACAGGAUGACCUGGGUAAGGUGGAAAUAGCUUUUUACUACCCGGAUCCUCCACCAAUAGGGAUAUUGUACUCAGUAAAUAUCCUGUAGCUGUAGUCAUUUGGUUAGCAUUUAUGGGUACAUUUUUAAGUUCCUCAGAAUUAGGAGUGCUAGUUUUGAUUUCCUCUACAUUAAAGCCAUGGUAUAUAAAGAGAGAUGAGAAACAGUGACUCAGUGAGGAAAGAAAGAGAAUGGGAAAAUCCAGAGCUAUCUAGGGUCAGUGGGGCCAGUGUAUGUGUUGGGGAGUUUCCAUUUUCCACUUGGGUGGUGAAGAACUUCAAAGAACUCCUGGCAAAUAAUGACUCUCCAAACCCCUGCACUAAGAGACUUGAUGAGACCUGAUGAACCCCUGCUAGAGGGGUUUGUCAACCCCUCUAGCAACCUAAGGCCAUGUCCCUGGGAUAACCCAGUCUCCUUUUCAGUUUCUGUCUAGAAAAGCUCAGGGCUGUCAUAUGAAAUUGUUUGCUCUAACUGACACCACAUCAUGAGAGGCUCAUGAUCUCCCUUUCCUGAAAAGGACUUCAUGCUUGUGAAUUUUUCCUUUGUCCCUUUGACAUGUAUACAUAUUUCCUAUAAUGUAGGCUUGUCUUUCUCAAGGACCUGAAAGCCAUUCUUUGAAAUGUGAUCAUCAGAAAGAUAGGGGCUCUGUCUCACAAUCUCUGUGAGGAGUUAGAAAUCCUACCUUCCAUAAUAGCCAGCCAGCCAGCCAAGCCAGCUGGCCUAAUUACAUUUUCACCCAUCAACUCUUUGCCAUUUUUCUCUUCCCUGACUCUGCUUGGGACAUCUUCCCUUCCCUACUCUCUCAUUCUCCCUUUAAAAAGUCCAGUCACCUCUGUGCAAAUCAUAAACUGGAUUGGAGCUCAGCUCUUUCCCCUAUGGUCAGUGGAUACCUAAUACAAUCCUUUUCACUACUUCACUGUCUGACUUUGCUCAUCUUUGACAGUGAGCUUACCAAAGUAGGCAAUGUCCUGCCUUAUCUAAGUAACAUAAUCGCCCCAGUCCUGAGUGCGGCUAUGGAGCAGUGGGUCUUCAAGUGUGGUCCCCAGAGCAGCAUCAUCACCCUUGAGAACUUUUUAAAAACACAAAUUUGGGGCAUCCGUCCUGAUCUAUUGAAUCAAUCACUCUGGGGUUGGGACCCCACAGUCUGUGGUCUAACAGGCUCUACAAGUGAUUCUGAUGCUUGUUGAUGUUUUUGAACACAGUUGUAGGGAAUAGCAAGCUUAUUAAGGGUGCAAUGGAGGCAAGGCCAGUGCUCAGCUUUUAGGGACUCAAUGCCAAGAGGGUGUCAAAACAGAGGAAAUGAUUCUCCAGCUGGGCUAGCCUCACCCGUCUUCCUGAGCUACUAGAAACUCCAUCUGGGCAAUGCCACUUCCAUCCUGUUCCAGAGGGGAGCACAUGCAAACUCCUUAGAACCCAUGGUCCCCAGAAUGAAGCAUGAGCUACUCUGCUUUAGUACGGCUUCUCAUGGAAGUGCCAGCUCUCCCCAUGGAAGUGCCAGCUCUCCCCUGGCUAAGGGUUUGCUAGUAAAACUUAACCCAAGACUAGUGAUAAUCUUACAGAUAUUAUGUUGAGGAAAGAAGUCAGCCAAAAAAGAAUGAAUAUUAUAUGGCUUUAUAUCAAGUUCAAAAUGGGGCAACAUUGCCAAAAUGACAGAAUAGUAGUUGCCUCUGGGGGUUGGAUAUAGACUUGGGAUUGGCCCUAGAGAACAUUCUGGGAAUGGCACCAUGUGCAGAAGUUAUGUAGGUGUAUAGAGAUGUAAAGUCACAUCAAACUAUGUUAACACAUGCGAAUGUGUUUUUACCUCCAUA